Molecule: ribosomal RNA, 471 nt
Filed under: uncultured bacterium
Lineage: Bacteria
Description: bacterial SSU rRNA
Rfam family: Bacterial small subunit ribosomal RNA
Source: RNAcentral
UCGGGAAUCUUCCGCAAUGGGGGCAACCCUGACGGAGCGACGCCGCGUGCGGGAUGAAGGCCUUCGGGUUGUAAACCGCUGUCACAGGUUAAGAAGGGUCUGGCGUUAACAGCGCUAGAUCUUGACGAAGGCCUGAGAGGAAGCCACGGCUAACUUCGUGCCAGCAGCCGCGGUAAGACGAAGGUGGCGACCGUUGUUCGGAAUCACUGGGCAUAAAGAGCACGUAGGCGGCAAGGUAAGUCGGGUGUGAAAUCCCUCGGCCUAACCGAGGAAUUGCGCCCGAAACUACCGUGCUUGAGGAUGGAAGGGAGCGUGGAAUUCCUGGUGGAGCGGUGAAAUGCGUUGAUAUCAGGAGGAACACCGGCGGCGAAGGCGACGCUCUGGUCCAUUUCUGACGCUGAGGUGCGAAAGCCAGGGGAGCAAACGGGAUUAGAUACCCCCGUAGUCCCUGAGCGGGCUGGCAAGGCGCAU